RNAcentral lists this ribosomal RNA (462 nucleotides) under uncultured bacterium. RNAcentral describes it as "partial 16S ribosomal RNA". It matches the Rfam family "Bacterial small subunit ribosomal RNA", at positions 29 to 506 of the family's 1533-position model. The record is from RNAcentral.
UACGCACGCUGGCGGCGUGCUUAACACAUGCAAGUCGAACGGAAAGGCCUUUUCGGAGGUACUCGAGUGGCGAACGGGUGAGUAACACGUGGGUGAUCUGCCCUGCACUCUGGGAUAAGCCUGGGAAACUGGGUCUAAUACCGGAUAGGACCGCACUUUAGUGUGUGUGGUGGAAAGUUUUUUCGGUGUAGGAUGAGCCCGCGGCCUGUCAGCUUGUUGGUGGGGUAAUGGCCUACCAAGGCGGCGACGGGUAGCCGGACUGAGAGGUUGGUCGGCCACAUGGGGAUGGAAAAGCGGCCCGGCCUCCCGCGGGAGGGAGAAGUGGGGAAUGUUGCACUAUGGGCGGAAGCCUGAUCCAGCGCCGCCGCGGGGGGUGGGGCGGCCUUCGGUUUUUAAACUCUUUUCCCCGGGGAGGAAGCUUUUUUGGGCGGUACCGGGAGAAGAAGCCCCGGCGAAAUACGU